AUUGAACGCUGGCGGCAGGCCUAACACAUGCAAGUCGAGCGGAUGAAGGGAGCUUGCUCCUGGAUUCAGCGGCGGACGGGUGAGUAAUGCCUAGGAAUCUGCCUGGUAGUGGGGGAUAACGUCCGGAAACGGGCGCUAAUACCGCAUACGUCCUGAGGGAGAAAGUGGGGGAUCUUCGGACCUCACGCUAUCAGAUGAGCCUAGGUCGGAUUAGCUAGUUGGUGGGGUAAAGGCCUACCAAGGCGACGAUCCGUAACUGGUCUGAGAGGAUGAUCAGUCACACUGGAGCUGAGACACGGUCCAGACUCCUACGGGAGGCAGCAGUGGGGAAUAUUGGACAAUGGGCGAAAGCCUGAUCCAGCCAUGCCGCGUGUGUGAAGAAGGUCUUCGGAUUGUAAAGCACUUUAAGUUGGGAGGAAGGGCAGUAAGUUAAUACCUUGCUGUUUUGACGUUACCAACAGAAUAAGCACCGGCUAACUGCGU
RNAcentral lists this ribosomal RNA (483 nucleotides) under uncultured bacterium. RNAcentral describes it as "partial 16S ribosomal RNA". It matches the Rfam family "Bacterial small subunit ribosomal RNA", at positions 30 to 506 of the family's 1533-position model. The record is from RNAcentral.